Molecule: RNA transcript, 1861 nt
Organism: Mercurialis annua (annual mercury)
Lineage: Eukaryota; Viridiplantae; Streptophyta; Magnoliopsida; Malpighiales; Euphorbiaceae
Gene name: codeine O-demethylase-like
Exons: 5
Source: RefSeq, a predicted model, not a curated record
AUAAUUGCCAACUAUAAACUCUUCCUAAAUCCGCACUGAAUUUAAAUGUGUCUUCAACUAUGAGUCUAUGAACCUAUAAACCGUAGCCACAUUUAAUUGAUAGUACAAAAGAGAGUGAAAUUGGAUGCUCUGCAUCUCUCACCACAUUGCCAAUGGAGUCCAAUCUUGAAACAUUAACCCAGAGAAGCAGCCUCCCAGUGCCUUAUGUUCAGGAGCUGGCAAAGAGAUCGUUGGCUACAGUUCCAUCUAGAUAUGUAAGACCUGAUCUGGACCCUCCAUUUCUAUCCAAUUCUUCUUCGCCCGAUCAAGUUCCGAUCAUCGACAUGAGCAAAUUGCUUUCUGAAGAAUCCGAGCUCGACAAGUUUCAUAAUGCUUGCAAAGAUUGGGGGUUCUUUCAGUUGAUUAACCAUGGAGUUAGUGAGUCAUUGGUGGAGACAAUGAAAAUAGAAGCUAAAAAUUUAUUUAAUCUUCCGAGUGAUGAGAAAAAGAAAUUUGCUAGUGUGAAUGGAGAAGUUGAAGGGUAUGGUCAAUUAUUUGUUGUCUCCGAAGAACAGAAGCUUGAUUGGUGUGAUGUCUUAAGCCUUACCACUAUCCCUAUCCAUUUGCGGAAGGACAAUUUGUUUCCAAACUUGCCUAUUCCAUUAAGAAAUGCGCUUGAAGCUUACUCGAAAGAAAUGAAAAAUCUUUCUAUGAAAAUAAUAAAUUUAGUGGCAAAAUCUCUAAAAAUAAAACCCAAUGAUGAUUUGGUGGGACUAUUUGAACCAGAAGGGUGGCAGGCAAUGAGAUUGAAUUAUUAUCCUCCAUGUCCACAGCCUGAACUUGUAAUGGGCAUUUCUCCUCAUUCAGAUGCCAGUGGAUUCACCAUUCUUCUGCAAGUCAAUGAAACCGAUGGACUCCAAAUUAAGAAGGACAAAAAUUGGGUUUCGAUUCAACCCGUCGCUAAUGCUUUUAUCAUCAACAUCGGAGACAUGUUUGAGCUUUAUGGUUUAACUAAGCAGAAAGAUAGUACAUUCAGCCGAGUGAAGUCUGCAAGUUGGAGCUGGACGAAGGUUUAGAAUCUGUGAAAAAUCCAAGCUACUUCUUCUUCAAGCUGUUGUUGAUCAGUUCGUCCUUACAGGCAGAGAAGAGGCGGUUUGCUGGAACGGCAAACUGCGGUCAUACUCUGGGCCCUGGCCAUUUUUUUGGUGUGCUAUCUCGUCCUCAACCUACAUUCAGCGCUGUUUUUCCCUCAUUGUGGAAGUCGGUUUCUUCUCCUCGUAUUAAUUUCUUCAUUGGACAACUCUUCACGACCGGAUCGUUAGUCGUUCCUUUGUCGCUCUUAGGAGCAUUAUUCCGGUUAUUGAUGUGGGUUGCAGGUGUUGUGGAGAAGAUGAAAUAAAUGAUCACAUCCUGUACAUUUGCAAGGUUGAUUUGAAAUUUGAGUAUCUCUAAGAUGGGUUUGCUUUAGGUAAUGCCUCGUUGCCAAAAUGAUUUCUUGCUAUCUUUGCGACACUUGAUUCAUAAGAGUUAUUAUCCGGAUUUGUGGCUGAGUUUACGGGUUUUUGCAACUUGUAAUCUUCUGAAGAGCAGGAACUUACGUAUUUUUCAGAGGAAGUUCACUUCUUUUCAUGACGUGGUGUUUGAUAGUUUUACUCUGACUUUGAACUUCUACAAAUAUUCGAAGCUAUCUUUUCCUUAUUACAGUUUUAAAUUCUUUAGAAGUUCGGAUUGUAUUUUACUCAGGUUAUGUCGAAUGGAAUUUAUCCAAGCAUAGAGCAUAGAGCAGUAGUUGACUCAGUAAAAGAGAGAAUUUCAAUUGCCACAUUUUAUAGUCCAAGACUGGAUGCAGAGAUCGGUCCGAUGCCGAGUCUGAUUACUCCCC